CGGAUGACGAGGACGAUGAUGAUGAUGACGAGGGAGGUAAUCUUACUAUAGUGGAUAGUUCGAAAGACGAAAUCGAGCCUAUCGAGAAGACGCAAAACCUCGUUAUCAAGGAGGAGUUCCAGCCUGCGACAUCCGUGUCCAACGUACCCCAGCCGGCCGCUAUUUUGGACAAAUUAGGUGACCUGAGCAAAAUUGAUAUCAGUGCCGAAGUAUCCAAAUUGCUUUCUACUCUGAAGGCUCAGAGCUCCGCGACCAACAAGGCGCAAGCAAACUCGAAUCAAGACGCGUCGAAAGCUAAAUCGGCGCAAGAUCCGAAGACGGAUAGCGAGACGUCGUCGAGUCCGAGGCGAUCACCAGAAAUUGUAAUUUAUUGCAAAAUAAACGCAUCUUCUCAUAAUUUUCGAAAUGGAUGAUUUCGAUUUGUUGUUAAUUGCUCUGGUCAACAUGGGAGCACUUUUGGUGCAACGUCGUAGAAACCGUGAACGUCAUCGUCGCCGUCGGCGUGUCUGGGUACGACCAUUUAACACAAGGAGAAGACAGCAAGGAGCGUUUUACAAUCUUUUUCAGGAGAUGAAAACAGAUGAGCAAAUGUUCCACAAGUAUACACACUGCCAACAUUCCAGCACUUGAUGGACAUUGUUAAUCCAAGUUUAAUGAAACGAAGUCCACGGGCACUUGAACCAGAGCAAAGAGUUGCUUUUACAUUGCGAUUUCUGAUUGGAGACAAAGUUCCAGCAGUUGCUUUUGCCUAUCGUGUUGGUUUAUCAACAGUACAUAAAAUAAUUAAAGAGACGUGUGACGUAUU
Molecule: long non-coding RNA, 805 nt
Organism: Temnothorax curvispinosus
Lineage: Eukaryota; Metazoa; Arthropoda; Insecta; Hymenoptera; Formicidae
Exons: 3
Source: RefSeq, a predicted model, not a curated record